Molecule: long non-coding RNA, 932 nt
Filed under: Bemisia tabaci
Lineage: Eukaryota; Metazoa; Arthropoda; Insecta; Hemiptera; Aleyrodidae
Description: lncRNA ENSSWEETPG006968
Source: RNAcentral
GUGGGUUGGCAGGUGAAGCAGGUUAUGGUUUUAUUCGAAGAAUCCUCUUCCGAUGUGUUUCUAACAUUGAAGAAGCGGCCACGUCACACCAAAGUUUUCGGACAGAUCUAUAUGAAGCCUUACCGGUUACCAAGCAAAAAGCACUCUGUUUCCUACACAUCAAGAUGGCAUGAUAGUCUACCUUCUCCACGUCCUGAACUUUUAUCUAUCCCUCACUUUACGUUACCACUUCCAACGUAUAAUGAAACAGAGCAAACACUCUCUGAUGAAGGCAAAGACGAACGAAUCAACAAGUAGCAGUGAUGAGGACAUUGGCCAUGCAUCACCAACAAGCAUGCGACUCUAUCUGCCCAAACCGCGGAGUACCAGCGCAACGCAGAGCUACCAUCACUGGAGCAAGUCCUAUUAGUAAACGCCCUCCAGUCAAUUUAGAUGAGCUUUGGCAUGAAUUAAAAUUUGUUCGCCAGUGGCGGAGCGACAGUGAAGAGAAUAAAAAGUUACAAUUCUGGAAACCCUUCUACGAUGUUACGAUGGAUUCAUCACUCCCAAAUCGUCUCCAGAUGUUCCGCCCCAAGUGUAAGUAGCGCUCAGUGCACUCACAUCAUCGGCAAUUACGACAGUCACUAUGAGCCGAGAGAACAAAUUAUCGAAUCAACCGAGCGUUGUAAGAACUCUCUGGACCGUGAGGAGAGCAUCCUCGAACAGUCGCUUGCCCGAAGAUUGCAAGUUGCCUUCACUAAAAGAACGCAUGAGAUGUUUUCUUAAAGCUGAUAGUAACAAUCCCAAGCUAAAAUUCCACCUAAAACUUUAAGCUUAAUCAGUAUCCACAAAAUUCAACAAUGUAGAGAAUACAAACUCUUCAAUCAGUAACGUUUAAACAACGCNGUUCUCAAAGGAUUUGUCUUCUCUCCACAUUUCGGUUCCUCUAGUCU